CCUGAAACAACAAGCCAAACAAGAUGUUCAUCCGUACCUUUGCAGCUUUUCUCCUCAUAUUCCAUCUAUCUUUACUGGUGGUUCCGGGUGCUGCAACAAACACCACGGCUGCACCGGCAAUGACCACAACGGCUGCGCCGACAACGACCACCACGGCUGCACCGACGACCACCACGGCUGCAUCGACAAUGACCACCACGGCUGCAUCGACAAUGACCACCACGGCUGCAUCGACAAUGACCACCACGGCUGCACUAAAUGCCACUAAUAAUUCCACAUCUACCUUUGCCCCCCUAAUUAUGACACUGUUGCUCUCUCUGGCUUUCACAGCUUCUUCCCUUUUUUAAUGGUGUCACAAACAGAAAGUUUUAAAAGUUGCUGUCAACGCUUAUAAAGAGCUGCAGAAAUCUGGUUUGCCAAUCCGGUUUUGUCCUUGGUGGAGGGAAUAUGUUUUGAUGAAGUACAUCAAACCAGAAUGCAUAGUUGUCCUGAUGUUUACUUGGCAUUUUCAUGGAUUUUAACGUUUACUUAUUCGGGAAAAUCCUUGCACUGUAUUUCUCUGUGUUUGUGGGACAAAGGGUCUUUAAGUUGUAAUUUGCUUCAAAACGUCAAUGUUUUAGGGUGCUUCUAAAAAUGAAUGAAUGUAUGAGUUGGGUCUUAGAUUCUUUCAGUGGAAUAAAGGGGUAAGAGACAUUUCAUUAAAUUUUUGUGCACUGAUGUACUGAUGUGCUUUUUUGCAGUUGUGUGACUAAUUAGGUUUUCCAAACCACAAGUAACUAUUUGUUCAAAACUUUGAAGUGCCAUCAAAAUGUGGCAAUAGAAAGCAUUUUUCAAAAUUCUUUUAACUUCCUGCAUGAGAUUAGCAUGCAAGGUGUAAUAUAUACUAUUUAACCAGCUGAUAUAAACAUGGCGACAAGCUCUAAAAGUCCAUUGUUUUUGUCUGGGCAUUUUAUACUUAGUUAAUUAAUUGAAUUUAUCAAUUUAUCACAACCGUCAUCUAAACUAGGAUUUUAGCUAUUGCCAUUAAUAUCUGAAAGGUGGUAGAUGGUGGUAAAACUUUUUUAAGCCUUGUUUUCAGAUGUAAUGUAAGGAAGUAUGGGCGUACGGAUGCACAAACAAAGCACUGCCCUGAAUCACAUGUGUCUUACAGUUGUAACAGUGCAACCUGCAGUUUAUGUUUGUUGUCAGAACUUAACAGAGAAAAUCUCUCGGCUUGAUUAAUAUUUUGAGUUUUCAGCCCUACAAAAUGUAUAACUUGUAACUUGAAAAAAAAGAGAGAAUAAAGUCUGUAUUUGAAA
Long non-coding RNA from Fundulus heteroclitus (mummichog), 1298 nucleotides. RefSeq lists it as uncharacterized. Lineage: Eukaryota; Metazoa; Chordata; Actinopteri; Cyprinodontiformes; Fundulidae. The transcript has 2 exons. The record is from RefSeq and is a predicted model, not a curated record.